GUGCCCUGACCAGGACAUUAAAACAGUGAGAUAUAUGUAAGAGAAAUGUCAGAGCAGGUAUACCAUCUGCAAUCUUGUGCAACACUGGCACAGAUCCCACAGGAGUAUGUUCUAAAAUAAGUCUGGCAACUCAUUGACCAGCUGCUUUGAUAGUACAGGAACGAGAAGGACCUUUGGACUGUACAGACUCCUUAUUAAAACUGUGCAGCCGAGCACAGACAGCUGAGCUUCGACAGAUUAGUUCAGUAGCAUGUCCAGCGGAGUCCCAGUCAACGCGAGAAAUCACGAGACUACAGUCCACCCUUUGACGGAGAGCUGCGAUUGGUCAGACUGACUGAAAGUCCCGCCCACUCGUUGUGUUUACAGCAUGCAGUGGUUUAGAGAUGCUGCGGCUAGCAACGUAGGCAUCAUAGUGGAGCUAAACUCUACAGCCUUGGUCUGGAUCAUUGGGAACAUCUGGUCUGAUGGACUGAGAGCUCCAGAGAACAUGAACAUCCAGCUGUGGUUGUCUGAAGAGUCUUUUCUCCUUCAUCAUUGUGAGGAAGAGCAGCACUAAUGUCCUCCUCAUCCUUCCAGUAAUAACAAUAAUGCUGCAGAUUCAGCUCCUCUCUUCAUAAUACAACUUGUCUUGUGACUGUUCAGUUUUAACAUUUCACUGUCAACAAAACACAUUAUUUAUUUCAUCCAUUUAUCUUUACAGUUCAGAAUUGUUAAAUAAUGUAGUUUUUAAAUGUGCAAUAAAGAUAAUAAUGAAGCUCUUUCCCUGAAUGUAUUGGUUUUAAUGCUACAUAUCUGCUAUAAAUAACAUGGACUUUUUAUGCUGUAUUUCUGCUAAAACAGCAGAGAUGAAGUUAAAGGUGAUAAAUGGAACGUGUGAAUACUAAGAACAGAGAAUAAACAGCUGGAACAGUU
Amphiprion ocellaris (clown anemonefish) is the source of this 912-nucleotide long non-coding RNA. RefSeq lists it as uncharacterized. The transcript is spliced from 3 exons. Lineage: Eukaryota; Metazoa; Chordata; Actinopteri; Pomacentridae. The record is from RefSeq and is a predicted model, not a curated record.